This 1780-nucleotide long non-coding RNA is filed under the name Amborella trichopoda. RNAcentral describes it as "long non-coding RNA (ATRI_LNC003834)". The record is from RNAcentral. Lineage: Eukaryota; Viridiplantae; Streptophyta; Magnoliopsida; Amborellales; Amborellaceae.
GCCUUACCCUAGGUUGACUUGCAAUGAAUGUGUAUCAAAGAACUAAGGGAUAAUGUUCUUAAAUUCCUCUCUAAAUCAUGAUGGCUGAUUUUUUGGAUAGAUGGCUCAGAUAUGUUUCUCUCUCACCUCACAGAUUACCUAGAGUCUUAUAGCCCAAGAUGAAAUCUAAAUCAAAUAGGCAUACCUAUACUCACCUGGAGGCUCUAUAUUGAAGGUAGCCCCCCUCAUUCUCAGAAUCUGAAAUUCCUAGCCUCUCUCUCUCUCUCUCUCUCCUCUCUUUUAUGUGUUUUCUCUCUCUCUCCUCUCUCAUGUCCUAAAAGGCGUAGCACACACCACCCUGGAAAGCUUGGGGUGCCACGCUGCCCACAAGGUUCACAGAGGGGCAUGCCCAGCUAACUUUGAGAAAAGGGAGGUGUCAAUAAGGUGGUAUGCUCUAAGAGUCUCAAAGAGUUUUCAAAACCUCUAGACGUAGCAUAUGCUCUCCUAAAAUCUUAACAUUUACUAAAGGUAUUGCCUAAAGAAGCUUCCCAACUUGGAGAACUCAGCAAGGCCAAUAGGAUCAUCAUGUGCCAUCGGUCAGGUAAUCCGGUGUGGGGUGUACCUAGUCGUAAGGGGUUGACCCUAGGCAAAGUCAAAUAAGUAUUCCCAACUAUUCUAAGUUUAUUCUAGGUAAUCGAGUAUGGGUUGUCCUAUGUUCUAAGGAGGUGACCCUAGGUAAAGUUAAGUUAGUCUUCCCAGCUAUUCUAAACUUAUUUUCAAUCAUUCUUGUUCAAUUUAUUGCAAUUUUCAGGAACAUUAUUUUAUUAAAAUUCCUUGUUAAAGCUUAUUAGUGAAGUGAGGGACCCAAUUCCCAUAUGCAUUUAGUUGAAUGUUGAAACACACAGAUGAGGCAUAAGAUGGAAGACAAAUUCAAAAGCCAUAAAGAGAAAUAUAGCAAUAACUGUAUAGUGAAAAGGAUACAUCUAUAUAAAUCAUUUUCUUGAACUAGUGGAAAUUGAAAGGAUGCCUAUCAUGCAUGAGAUGAUUAAAAAAAGGAGGAUUUCAAAGUAGACCAUGAGAAAUGCUCAAGUACCACUUUCUCAUGUUAUUCGUAAUACAAAAUGUACUAUUUGGACAUCAUGCCUCGCUUAUGUCUCUCUCGUGUUCAUACUUUUAUUUUUAAAGGGAGUGGUUUCUAUAGGUUUAGGGGCUAUAUGUAUAUAUAUAUAUCUAUAGGCGAUUUUCAACAGUGUUUUGCCCCCCCACAGACAUGCUAUGUCGAUGGCAGUUUAUUGAAUGGAGCUGCAAUGGACGAUGCGUGGUCUGUGGCGGUUCCGCGCGUUUUUUGACCACCAUGGACACGUUAUGCUCGUAACGGGGGUACUGCCACAAACAUGCUAGCUCCGUAGCGGUCUUAAAUCCUCUGAAAAAAUCAGGAGGCGCCAAGCCUAGGGGCAAAAAUACUGUUAAUUUUCACUCAUAGGUGUGUGUGUGUAUAUAUAUAUAUAUAUAUAGGGAAAUGAUAUCAUGUCGCCAUGCCAUUAUAAUAUAAUGAAACCAUAAUUUUAGAAAACCAUGUUUGUGGUACUUGUAUGACCCAAAAUUUUGCACACACACUCUAUUCAUCUCAAUAAUCAAUCUAAAAAAAAUAAAGUUAAUUUAUAAUCUAUAUAUAGUCAAAAUGAUUCAUCUCCAACAAUGAAUCUAGAUCGUCCAUUUGGUGAAUUUCAAGAUCUAGGCCUUUAUGAAUUCAAAAUCAAAUUUUUCUUUUUUUAACGUUGUUAAUGUAAUGAUAAUAAAG